RNAcentral lists this transfer RNA (61 nucleotides) under Escherichia coli 97.0010. RNAcentral describes it as "partial tRNA-Ser". It matches the Rfam family "tRNA", at positions 16 to 71 of the family's 71-position model. Rfam says of the family: Transfer RNA (tRNA) molecules are approximately 80 nucleotides in length. Their secondary structure includes four short double-helical elements and three loops (D, anti-codon, and T loops). Further hydrogen bonds mediate the characteristic L-shaped molecular structure. tRNAs have two regions of fundamental functional importance: the anti-codon, which is responsible for specific mRNA codon recognition, and the 3' end, to which the tRNAs corresponding amino acid is attached (by aminoacyl-tRNA synthetases). tRNAs cope with the degeneracy of the genetic code in two manners: having more than one tRNA (with a specific anti-codon) for a particular amino acid; and 'wobble' base-pairing, i.e. permitting non-standard base-pairing at the 3rd anti-codon position. Lineage: Bacteria; Pseudomonadati; Pseudomonadota; Gammaproteobacteria; Enterobacterales; Enterobacteriaceae. RNAcentral also lists the same sequence under 4 other names. The record is from RNAcentral.
UGGAUAGAGUACUCGGCUACGAACCGAGCGGUCGGAGGUUCGAAUCCUCCCGGAUGCACCA